AAGACAAAGGAGCAACACAGAGAAUUGGAAAGCAAAAUAUUACCACAAAAGGAGAUCAAGAAUUCAAAUAAGUUAAAAGUCUUCACAAGGCUUUUUAUUGUAGGAAUAUGAAAUUGAACUGUACCUAGAAGACUAUACCAUUAGCUGUGAAAUAAAUAAACAGAGAGAGUCUGGAAAGAAAAUUGAACUAUUUUUUAUAUCUGAUGAUGUGUCUAACCUGACGACAGCCCUGAAAUGGUCUCAAGAGGUCUUCUUUCCCCCUACAGACUCCAAUCACUCAUCUGAAAAACUGAUGGCUCAGUCAAACCUGUGACUCUAUUACAUUGUCCGACACCAAGAAUGCAGUGUUGUGUUUGACUCAGAAAUGUAGGAAGCCUAAUACACACUCCUAGACUGGACUUACAGCAUCAGCAUUGAAUGCUGUAGACCCAAGAUCAUAGUGACAUGACAAAUCUGCCACUGGUUUGAUUAUGUCACUGACUUGAGUGGAACUUGAAUUUCAUCCAGUUCAUAUAGUCAUAAAAAAUGAGGGAAAGUAGAAUACUGAGCAAAGUUUACAGCUUUCCUGUGUUAGAGGCAGUCCUAAG
This 587-nucleotide long non-coding RNA is filed under the name Numida meleagris (helmeted guineafowl). RNAcentral's name for it is "lncRNA (ENSNMEG00000012468.1)". Lineage: Eukaryota; Metazoa; Chordata; Aves; Galliformes; Numididae. The record is from RNAcentral.